CCUACGGGGGGCAGCAGUGAGGAAUAUUGGUCAAUGGACGAGAGUCUGAACCAGCCAAGUAGCGUGAAGGAUGACUGCCCUAUGGGUUGUAAACUUCUUUUAUAUGGGAAUAAAACGUUCCACGUGUGGGAUUUUGUAUGUACCAUAUGAAUAAGGAUCGGCUAACUCCGUGCCAGCAGCCGCGGGAAGACGGAGGAUCCGAGCGUUAUCCGGAUUUAUUGGGGUUAAAGGGAGCGUAGGUGGGUUGUUAAGUCAGUUGUGAAAGUUUGCGGCGCAACCGUAGAAUUGCAGUUGAAACUGGCAGUCUUGAGUGCAGUAGAGGUGGGCGGAAUUCGUGGUGUAGCGGUGAAAUGCUUAGAUAUCACGAAGAACUCCGAUUGCGAAGGCAGUUCACUGGACUGCAACUGACGCUGAGGCUCGAAAGUGUGGGUAUCAAACAGGAUUAGAUACCCGGGUAGUC
This 460-nucleotide ribosomal RNA is filed under the name uncultured bacterium. RNAcentral describes it as "partial 16S ribosomal RNA". It matches the Rfam family "Bacterial small subunit ribosomal RNA", at positions 338 to 795 of the family's 1533-position model. The record is from RNAcentral.